This 441-nucleotide ribosomal RNA is filed under the name uncultured bacterium. RNAcentral describes it as "partial 16S ribosomal RNA". It matches the Rfam family "Bacterial small subunit ribosomal RNA", at positions 338 to 795 of the family's 1533-position model. The record is from RNAcentral.
CCUACGGGUGGCUGCAGUAGGGAAUCUUUCACAAUGGGCGAAAGCCUGAUGGAGCAACGCCGCGUGCAGGAUGAAGGCCUUCGGGAUGGUAACUGCUUUUAUAAGCGAGACAUAUGAUGGUAACUUAGGAAUAAGGAUCGGCUACUACGUGCCAGCAGCCGCGGUCAUACGUAGGAUCCGAGCAUUAUCCGGAGUGACUGGGUGUAAAGAGUGGCGUAGGUGGGGUAAUAAGUAGCUAGUGAAAUCUGGUGGCUCAAACAUCCAGACUAUCGUCUAAACUGUUAAGCUCGAGACCGUUAGGGGUAACUGGAAUUUCUAGUGUAGGGGUGAAAUCCGUAGAUAUUAGGAGGAACACCGAUUGCGUAGGCAGGUUGCUGGGACGGUUCUGACACUGAGGCACGAAAGCGUAGGGAGCGAACAGGAUUAGAUACCCUUGUAGUC